AUACGGAGGGUGCAAGCGUUGUUCGGAAUCACAGGGCGUAAAGGGCGCGCAGGCGGUUUGGUAAGUCAGAUGUGAAAGCCCACGGCUCAACCGUGGAAGUGCAUUUGAAACUGCCAGACUUGAGUACCAGAGGGGAAAGUGGAAUUCCCGGUGUAGAGGUGAAAUUCGUAGAUAUCGGGAGGAAUACCGGUGGCGAAGGCGACUUUCUGGCUGGAUACAGACGCUGAGGCGCGAAAGCGUGGGGAGCAAACAGGAUUAGAUACCCUAGUAGUCC
Molecule: ribosomal RNA, 274 nt
Filed under: uncultured bacterium
Lineage: Bacteria
Description: partial 16S ribosomal RNA
Rfam family: Bacterial small subunit ribosomal RNA
Source: RNAcentral